Molecule: long non-coding RNA, 463 nt
Organism: Pseudoliparis swirei
Lineage: Eukaryota; Metazoa; Chordata; Actinopteri; Perciformes; Liparidae
Exons: 3
Source: RefSeq, a predicted model, not a curated record
UUCAACCUAGACCUACUUUAAUGACUAAAAAAAAGUCUCUUUCACACACUGACAUUUAACAAUGACUUCAAUAAUUCCCCAAAAAAUACUUAUUAGUUCCUUGCAAUGUCUUUAUACAGUAGGACGGAAGCGGAAGGCCCUGCAGGUGUCAAAAGGUGGACCAUCUGCAAAGAUCGCAAUUUUCCACCAGUCACCACUGGUUGGUGGAGCCUCCGCCCCAGCCCCAACCCCAUCUAGCCCUGCUGCUCCAUCCACCCUUCCUGCCCCAUCCGGCCCUGCUGCUCCACCAAGCCCUACUGCCCCAUCCCAGCCGGCAUUUCAGAAUGUCCACAGCCUUGUGAGGACAUGCUCAGGGCAUCGGAGCAAAAGAUACCAGAUAACGGUGGAGGAGAUCAGGAGGAGGACUGCUCCACCUGAUUGCAAACUAUUCAAAGACAGACCACAACAAGCGGCAGAUACAAAC